RNAcentral lists this long non-coding RNA (3106 nucleotides) under Homo sapiens (human). Its description in RNAcentral is "HSALNT0397225". The record is from RNAcentral. Lineage: Eukaryota; Metazoa; Chordata; Mammalia; Primates; Hominidae.
AGCGGUUCCUUUCAGCGUCUGCCAAUCUAUCAAGAUUCAGCUACCGCUGUGAACCCAUCAACUCCAUGGAAAGGAAAAAAGGAACCCUCACCACAGCAAUUAUUUAUCCUGGCCUGAACUUCAGGUGACCUUUCCCAGGUCCACAGAAGUUGCAGAUGGGAGCACCUUGGUGUGUAGGAUUUUUUCCCCACUGUGUCCUUUUAAAAAACACAUUUUUUUUCAUGACAUGAACCUCUUUUGCAAAAUUUUCUUUUGCAAAAAGAUCUUUGGGUGGUCUAUAAGACCACAACAGGGGUGGAACAUUGGCCUACCUAGAGCACAGAUUGGAUGUAAACGAAGUCAUCCAAAGAUAAAAUAAACGAAGAAACAAAAACUGUGACCUCAUGGGGAUGGUUUCAGAGAAGACCCGAGUGCAGCUCACCCACAGGCCAGCUCAGCCCUCGGACAAAAAUAAGGGGCUGUUCUGCACCAAAGGCUCUGCCCUGACCCGGGGAGAUCCAAUAUUGUAAACUCUGUGGGUGGGUAUUUGUGUGUGUCCCCGAAUCAGAGAAAAAUCCAGGCCAUAACAAGGACUAUGCAGGGUGUAACUCCCCGUGUAAAUUUAAAGUGACCUAAGGGACAUAAUUACAUAAAUCUCAUCAUGAGACAAUAUACUUUUUAUUUGUUUGAAUUUUAUUUGUAUUGGUAAAACUGACCUGAAACUGACACAAGUUUAUUAGAAAAAGGACUCUGUAAAAGCAAGUGGGCUGGUCUUCUUAUUUAAGAUGGAUGUGCCGACUUCUAGUAUGAUUAGAGAAAUGGAUAACUCACUAACAUCUGUGCAAACUACAAUAAAAAGGGAUUUAGUGUUACCCCAAGGAAGGCAAGAGAGGCUGUCUGUCCAUUAAACGCUUUAUUACAGCGCCAGCAGCUUUUUUCUAAUUCAGUUAUUCCUGCACAGCGUUCAGCACUCUGACUGCCUGUCAACCCACCAGACAGUGCUCGGGGCUGGGAGGUUUUGUGCAAGGUAGGUGACAAUCAAAUGAGCCACUGAGAAGAGAGGGGAGCCUGACCCUCGUGAAGGAUUAACUACAGAAAGUGAGUGUGAUCAUGUCACACCAUUACUUAGAAUUUUCACAGUCAAUUUCUGAAAAUAUGAGAUAAGUUCUUAAAGAGGCAGUUGUCUCAGGAGCUAAGCAGACCCAGUGUGGUUUUGUUCCAUGUGACAGGGCAGGGAGCCUGGAGAAAGAGUAGGGACUUCGAGGGAGAGGGAACAGGUGGCAUCAGCACUGUGCCUAUCCUCUGUAGGGCAUUCUAGAGCCAGGCCUUGGAGCAACUGGCUCCCAGGAAGGCUGCAGCCAAGAAGGGAGAGGAUGGAGAGAUGCCUUCUGGGACCAAGAUGCCAUAUAUCCCUCCUCCACUGGAUGCUGGAAUCCAGCCUCUCCUGGGGUCAACUGGGCUAAUGAACAUGACCCUUUGGUGAUCAUAUUAGGCUUUGGGUUCACAGGAAGCCUGUCUAGGGCAGUCAAGAUGCCGGUGCUGGGAUGAAAUGUCCAUCUUCUAUCACUCCUUUUCACCCCUGCAACUGCUACAACCAAUAUCAUCAUAAGCUUCCCCAAAAGACUAUAUGCCCCUACGGCAUGCAAAAAGAUCCAGUCCCACAGGAGCUCACAAGCCACAUGCUUAAGAAAAGUACUAUAUGCUCAACACAAAUAUACUUGAGAUAUAUAUUUUCAAAGCCUGGCAAAGGUAGAUGACAGUACAAGGAAGCAUGGCACAUUUUGGGGCCAGAGAUGAGUCUGUCCCUCAUUUAUAGAUGGCAGAUCUUUAACACAAAAAGGGGAAGGCUCCACCCAGAGCACACGCAAUCUUUGGGAAGUGGAGCUGAGACCGGAGCCCCAUGUUCCUGAUCUCCUGACCAACAGAAGUUAUGCUACAGGGCUUCACGCAGUAGGGCUUUUUGAGAAGAUGGACUGGAAAUGUGAUUUCUUCCUUUGCAUCUAUAUAUUUAAAUGAGAAAAGUAAACCACAAACCUCUAAGCUUGGUUCUGCUAAAGUAAUUUAACAUCUGCUGCCACCUGAAUGUAAUUGAAACAAUUCAUUAUCAAAUUUACUGAUCUGCUUAAUGAUUUUGUAUUUCUCUUUCAAAAUCACCUUCCUCCUAAGCUAGCCUAGGUAAAUUACCCUUUGCUUCAAAUCUGAGAGAUUGAAGGGACCUGGGAGAACAUCCAAUUCAAGCCCCCUCACUUUAAAAAUGGUGUAACAGUGUUUUGUGUGUCCAUGGUGAGGUUGCAGACCUUUAUCGAGGUCACAGAGCAAGUCCAGCAAGAGUUGAACACAGGCUGCCAGAAUUCCACCCUUGUCUCAUUCCGAGAUUGUGUGCUGAGGGUUUUCAACUGCAUCUCUAAAGGGAAGGCCAAAGAAAGAGCAACAGGAAAGGAUGGUAAAAAGGGGGUAGAAAGGAAGAAGGAAGGGAAGAAAAAAGGGAAAACAGCAAGCUCUCUUUCCAGAGCCACACAUUUUUUUCUGUUUGCUCAGUGGCAGUCUGUUAAAGAAAUACUUCAUUGUCACUGAACACAGAGUCAUUAAAGGCACCUUGGAAAUUUGGACCCUUUUACUAGAAUCAGGGCUUAAAUAGCAACUUAAUUUAUGACACUUCUCGAGGCUGAUGGCGUUUUUGCUCUAAGACCUGCCUUGCAAGAAAUGUUAAAAGAAGUGCUUUAGAGAGCAGGGAAAUUCUAUAGGUCAGACACUUGGAUCUACAUAAAAAAAGGAAGAAACCAAAGGAGAAAUAAGUGAAGGCAUGGAAACCUUGUUCCACACAUUGCCUGGUGCCCUGUCCAGCGCUGCAAGGUGCACUGCGUCUCCUCUGCCCAGCAAGCCACAAGCCCCUCCAGGGUGAGAGGAGAGCCUUCCCUUCCCUUGGUCCUCCCUUCGACACAGGGAGCUGGAGCUGGACAGCCCCAUAGGCACUCAGGGCUUGAAGAAGAUAUCUAGAAAUGUCAAAGCAGAAGAGCCUCGGAGAUAAUCUGAACUAUUUCUGAGUUUAUAUAAGGGAAAACUGAGACUGGAGAGAACUAACAUGUCUAAUAUUACAAUGGAAACUUGUAAUAAAACCACAAAUUGA